RNAcentral lists this ribosomal RNA (492 nucleotides) under uncultured bacterium. Its description in RNAcentral is "partial 16S ribosomal RNA". It matches the Rfam family "Bacterial small subunit ribosomal RNA", at positions 29 to 507 of the family's 1533-position model. The record is from RNAcentral.
AGUGAACGCUGGCGGUAGGCCUAAUACAUGCAAGUCGAACGGCAGCACAGUAAGCUUGUGCCCUUACGGGUGGCGACUGGCGGGCGGGUGAGGAGUACAUCGGCAUCUACUUUUUCGUGGGGGAUAUCGGAGAGCAACUGACGCUAAUACCGCAUACGUUCUACGGGUGAAAUCAGUGGAUCUUGGGACCUUUGCCGACUCUAUUAGCCGAUGCCGGAUUAGCUAGUUGGCGGGGUAACGGCCCACCAAGGCGACGAUCCGUAGCUGACCUGAGAGGAUGAUCAGCCACACUGGAACUGAGACACGGUCCAGACUCCUACGGGAGGCAGCAGUAGGGAAUCUUCGGCAAUGGGCGCAAGCCUGAUGCAGCCAUGCCGCGUGGGUGAAGAAGGUCUUCGGGUUGUAAAACCCUUUUAUUGGGGAAGAAAAGAAGUGGAAUUAACUAUCGAUGUCCUGACGGUACCCAAACAGUAAGCCACGGCUAACUUCGUG